Molecule: ribosomal RNA, 222 nt
Filed under: uncultured Glomeromycotina
Lineage: Eukaryota; Fungi; Glomeromycota
Description: partial 18S ribosomal RNA
Source: RNAcentral
GGAUUGACACAUCGGUCGUGCCUUAAGGGGUAUGAACUGGUGUAGUCAAUUUCUCACCUUCUGGAGAACCGCGAUGUCCUUAAUUGGGUGCCGCGAGGAACCAGGACCUUUACUUUGGAAAAAAAUUAGAGUGUUUAAAGCAGGCAUUUUUGCUUGAAUACAUUAGCAUGGAAUAAUAAAAUAGGACGGCAUGAUUCUAUUUUGUUGGUUUCUAGGAUCACC